RNAcentral lists this unclassified non-coding RNA (322 nucleotides) under Hevea brasiliensis (rubber tree). Lineage: Eukaryota; Viridiplantae; Streptophyta; Magnoliopsida; Malpighiales; Euphorbiaceae. The record is from RNAcentral.
AAUCACCUUCACACUUCACUUUUUCCUUUUUCAGUUUAUUUUCAAUGCACCACUUCCCCAAUUCUAGCUUUUCCGGUGAUAAACCUAAUUAUGACGGCUAUUUUGAUCUUUUUCCGAUUGUUUAUUUCGCCCCUCGCCUGAAAAUUUAUGAACCCGGCGAUCGGAGGGCUAUGAGAAUGUCAUCUAAUGACAGUGAGGGAACCAGACUAAUUUAUCGAUCAAGAUCGAAAAUAUCGAUCGUGCCGAUCUCGAAUUGGUCUAUCGAUACAAUCGGUAGACCGAUCUCGGACAAGAGGACUGCUAAUUUCAAUCUUAAUGUCGG